UCUAAUAUGAAAGAACAGAAACAUGGAUAACCUCUACAAAAUAAUAUUCAUAAGUCAUCUCCAGGGGUGGUCGUUUGACAAUGCAACUGGAUGGAAAUGGUGGGUACGAGGGUGUGCGAUAGGAUGAAGAAAGAAAGCAACUUUGUUUGGUGUUCAAUGAAUGUCGAAGAAGUUAUGGUUAUUUGGACGUGAGGGAGGCAGCAGGCAGUGGUCCACGGAAGGCUGUUGUAAUUUUUCCGGCGAGAAUGGUUGUUCGUUGACUGCGUGUGACAGGGGGAUAGAGGUCGACAGUGGUUAUGGAAGCUGGGUGGUCAUCUGUUACGUUGAGGAGCUGGAGAUGGGGUGAGGCUGGAGGUUAACGACGGAGAUGAGGCUUGUUAUGGUCGUUUGGCUGGUCGGCGCCGAUUCAAACUUGUGAGGUCGACGUCGACGAACUAUGUGGGACCCACAUACAAAAUUCAAUUUAAUUUUGAAAACAAGAUAGAACAAAUCUGAUACAACUCUCACGCGCCCAAAUGAAAUAAAAUACACAUAAUUUGCCAUGUGAGUACUGGGUAUUUAGCUUAUACACUUAAUAGUUACUUGAAGUAUCUGGUAAGAAAAGGUCUCACUUAAGGUGUCCAAUUGACCGUUGUGGACAACUACAGGGGGCUAUUUAUAUAUUUUGCCUAUUUAUUAUAUUAGGUUUAUUUCUUUCUUUAGUCGUUUAAUUUAUGGAAUAAUUAUUUUAUAUUUACUAUUACUUGUUUUAUUUUUUAUUUUGUAUUUUAUUAUGAUUAUAUUACAUAUGUGACAUUUAAGGGAAAGAAAAAGGUAAAAUCAAAGAAGAAAAAUGAUCUUUUUCAACUACCUUAACUAUGCCAAAUAUGAGUCAUUCUCUUUCCCGCCAUCCUCUUCCUCAUUCUCCCUAGUCGACUUGAUUUCCAUCUACCGUUCAUUAUUGCCUCUCUAUCUAAUAAUUUGGUUCAAUAUUAUAUUAUGUCUGCCAAAGAAAGUCAAAGUAACACUGUUUUUCACUUUAUUCCUACGCCUUCUAUAUCAUCUUAUUCACUGAGCUUUCAUGGUAGUCAGCAUGGUGGUUCACCAGCUUUUGCACCCUCAAACUUUCAUAGUAGUCAAUAUAAUGGCUCACUAGCUGUU
RNAcentral lists this long non-coding RNA (1140 nucleotides) under Nicotiana benthamiana. Its description in RNAcentral is "long non-coding RNA (NBEN_LNC010656)". Lineage: Eukaryota; Viridiplantae; Streptophyta; Magnoliopsida; Solanales; Solanaceae. The record is from RNAcentral.